Molecule: ribosomal RNA, 696 nt
Filed under: Kaistella sp.
Lineage: Bacteria; Pseudomonadati; Bacteroidota; Flavobacteriia; Flavobacteriales; Weeksellaceae
Description: bacterial SSU rRNA
Source: RNAcentral
GACGCUGAGGGACGAAAGCGUGGGGAGCGAACAGGAUUAGAUACCCUGGUAGUCCACGCCGUAAACGAUGCUAACUCGUUUUGGGGCGCAACUYUCAGAGACCAAGCGAAAGUGAUAAGUUAGCCACUGGGGAGUACGUUCGCAAGAAUGAAACUCAAAGGAAUUGACGGGGGCCCGCACAAGCGGUGGAUUAUGUGGUUUAAUUCGAUGAUACGCGAGGAACCUUACCAAGACUUAAAUGGGAAAUGACAGGUUUAGAAAUAGAUCCUUCUUCGGACAUUUUUCAAGGUGCUGCAUGGUUGUCGUCMGCUCGUGCCGUGAGGUGUUAGGUUAAGUCCUGCAACGAGCGCAACCCCUGUCACUAGUUGCUAACAUUCAGUUGAGGACUCUAGUGAGACUGCCUACGCAAGUAGAGAGGAAGGUGGGGAUGACGUCAAAUCAUCACGGCCCUUACGUCUUGGGCCACACACGUAAUACAAUGGCCGGUACAGAGGGCAGCUACACAGCGAUGUGAUGCAAAUCUCGAAAGCCGGUCUCAGUUCGGAUUGGAGUCUGCAACUCGACUCUAUGAAGCUGGAAUCGCUAGUAAUCGCGCAUCAGCCAUGGCGCGGUGAAUACGUUCCCGGGCCUUGUACACACCGCCCGUCAAGCCAUGGAAGUUUGGGGUACCUGAAGUCGGUGACCGUAAAAGGAGCU